UACGGAAGGCAGCAGUGGGGAAUAUUGCACAAUGGGCGCAAGCCUGAUGCAGCCAUGCCGCGUGUAUGAAAAAGGCCUUCGGGUUGUAAAGUACUUUCAGUCGUGAGGAAGGUGUUAAGGUUAAUAACCUUAGCAAUUGACGUUAGCGACAGAAGAAGCACCGGCUAACUCCGUGCCAGCAGCCGCGGUAAUACGGAGGGUGCGAGCGUUAAUCGGAAUUACUGGGCGUAAAGGGCACGCAGGCGGUUAAUUAAGUUGGAUGUGAAAUCCCCGGGCUUAACCUGGGAAUGGCAUUCAAGACUGGUUAGCUAGAGUCUUGUAGAGGGGGUAGAAUUCCAUGUGUAGCGGUGAAAUGCGUAGAGAUGUGGAGGAAUACCGGUGGGCGAAGGCGGCCCCUGGGACAAAGGACUGACGCUCAUGUGCGAAAGCGUGGGGAGCGAAAC
RNAcentral lists this ribosomal RNA (443 nucleotides) under uncultured bacterium. RNAcentral's name for it is "bacterial SSU rRNA". It matches the Rfam family "Bacterial small subunit ribosomal RNA", at positions 340 to 774 of the family's 1533-position model. The record is from RNAcentral.